GUUUGCACUCGUUCCGGAAUUUAAAGUGAACGCAAGAACAGAAAAUAUGAUAAAUCUAAAUAUGGCGCGUGGUCAGGAAUAUGUUUGCGCGUAAAUAAAAAAAAAAAAAAACCCCUAUUAAAACAGGGACAACUGUAUCGUCCGUGCAAACAACAGAAUGCGGUACCUGUGCGAAAUAUGAAAUAUUAACAACGCGUCCGUACAGCUACACAACUCACCCCGUGACAGCGUGACAGCGCGGCGGGGGAGCGUUUGCUGAGAUUGCUUCAACAGUAAAGACUGUACACUAGGGGCGGCGUUUGACCUCGCAGCUCUUCAAACAUCACUAAUCCCGGACUGACACUCAGGUGGAGAGUCGACGGCUCACUGCCGUGGCUCAUUAACAAAUACCAGCAAGCUAAAAAAAAGCGAAAAUAAAAAUAACAAAAAAACUGCGAGGAACAUGUCAUUGCGUAAACUGGAAAUUGUGACGGAGAACGGGAAACCAAGAACGAUUGGAUUGUCUUACUUUUGAAUAACACUUCAUUUCAACAGAUCCCAAGAUGUUCCAGUAGAGUUUCCUUCGAUAUGUAGUCACUUCUUCCGAACUCCCGUAUUCGUUGGUUAAAAAAAAGAAAUACAAAAGAAAAUUAUCCAACAAGAUCCUAUCCACAUGACUCAAGAGUUGGAUGUAACCGAAACACAUCUGGGCUGCCAAUUAUUCGCGCUUUGAUUCGAUUUGCUCUGUGCUGGUGUGCGAUGCUUCUCCGCGAGUGAGCCAGGCCUGCGGCUCAUUGGACCCGGAGCGAUGAAGCCCAGCCAGACCCCAGCGAGCCUGCAGCCUCGUCCCAGCCUGCCAGGGUGCAGGAGCACCCCCCCAAACACCGGGUGGGGAGAGUAAUCGCCAGCAUGCAGGAUACAGGAACACCGAGCACCGCACUUUCUCCCCCCUGGAUUGCCUCGGAGCCCGCCUUCUGUGUUGCGUUCGGGCGCAAAAGACGCCAGCGGGUGUAGACAGCUGUGAGCGUGAGAGACGCUCCCGAUGUUUCUGACGACACUUCGUUUGGGCUUCUGUGACGGAUUCGCCGCCCCACUUCUCUGAGUGAC
Molecule: long non-coding RNA, 1086 nt
Organism: Anguilla anguilla (European eel)
Lineage: Eukaryota; Metazoa; Chordata; Actinopteri; Anguilliformes; Anguillidae
Exons: 3
Source: RefSeq, a predicted model, not a curated record